GAGAGAGCUGGCGUUACCCCCGGGCCGAGGCUACUGGGAUCCGGCCAAGGCCGGCCUCUGUGCCCAAAGGACCCCGGUCAGAGGGAGAUAAGUACGGCUUCCGCCCUCGGACAACUCCUGGUGGCAGUGUGGGGAGAGACGAUGAGGACAUACACAACUCUCCUUCCGAGGACCUGCGAACAGGGUUGGUUUGUUUGUUCCAGUUCUGGGCAUGGAAUUGAAGGCCUUGUGCAUGCUAAGCAAACACUUUACUCCAGAGCCAUAUCCCCAGCCCCACUACAUCUCUUAAACCAGGACUUGUGGACUCCAGGGGGUUAUGGACAUCUCAGAGGUUCAUAAAUCCUGUAAGAAUUUUUAAAGGGCUGGAGACAGUUCAGUGGUAGAGCACUUGCCUAUCAUGUGCAAGGCUUUGGAUUUAAACUAACAUCACAGCACAAUUUUUAAAAUUGUUUUUAAAGAAUAAAAAGUUUUUCAAGUCAGACUGGGAAAGUUGUCUGAGGACCUGAGUGGGGAGAAAGAAUUGCUUGUCUUAAUUUAAAAGUCACCUCUACACUGUUCAGGAUUAAGAGAGUGCCCUGCGGCUCCUCCUCCAUCCUAAGGGGAUGGGUAGGUGACGGUUGCACUUGUCCUAGGCUGAGGGGUCUGUUUCCUGUGUGGAUCCUUCUUCCCCACUUAAAGGGGAAGCACUUUGAGUUGGGAGUUUUCCCAGGAGGCUGGAAGACUGUGGAGCUGCCCUUGGCCGGCAUAGCACCAAGGCGGAUAGGAGACUGAGGUGUGCCCCCAGAGUCCUGGCAUUUCCUUCCCUCUCUACCUUUCAUUCCGUGCCCGCCCCUGUGCUCUAGAAUGGAGCUCAACAAUUCUUUGAAAUCAAAAUGCGUGAAUGAAAUGCAAGGGGUGAAACCCAUAGACUCUGUCUGAGGCUGGGAAAGUCACAGCCAAGGUGUUAAGUAACCACUCUUCAAACGAGGAGGAAAUCGAAUCUGGCUGGAGCAGCAGCUCCUGGCUUUCCUUCUGAAGGUUCAGUUGCUCCCACAGGAAGUGAGGGCGGGGCCUGCCCUAGCUCCUGUUACAGGCAGCAGGCAGCCCAUGAGCUCGAUGUCCUGUGGCUCUCCAAGACCUAAACCCGGUGGAAAGUUUCACCUUGAGGAAGAAAAAUUUCCACUCCUCCUUCCAGGCCCCUGAGGGAGUGUGCAGCAGACAUCCGGGAACGUCCCCGGGGACAGCCGUCUGCUGGCCCAGCCAGCUGCUGGCCUCCUCCUCCUUAUGUCCUGUACCCUCCCUGAGAGGUGCUUGGGAAUAUUGGGAGGGAGGCUCUCAGAGGCCCCCCUGACUGCUUGCCCAACAUUUGGACUGAGCAACAGAGAUAAUACAUCUCUUUCCUUUAAAGAUAAGGAAAUUCUACACCAUCGUGAAAUGUCUUUCUUACAUAUUAAAUUUGACUUUUCUGUCCAGCUUCUUCAGUGAGAUAUUGUAGAAAGGAAGUUCAAGGUAGAAAAAAGAAUCCAAGAAGCAGGGCUCCCUCUCUUUCUCUCCUGUCUCUGCAAGGAGAGGAAAGCAUUCCUUUCCACCUUUUAUCUAAGGAUCACUUAGUAGAUGGCCCCUCAAAACUCCCUGGCUACCCAACUACAAUGAUGUUGCCCUUUUACCUCAACUCUUUCAGAAACAGACAGAUCUGACCCAAGGCUCUGUGAGUCCCUCUUGAUCCCAGUGGCCACAGAGAUGUCACUAUCAGAUUCACAGGCAGACUGGAGGUGCAUGUUAGUCUCAGACAGGCUAAUCCCUACAGUCUUCCUUUUGAUUCCAGACCCUUGUGAAGGUUAAUCUUGAUUGUGUUAAUGUGAUUGACUUUGGGAUCCACCCAGGCGAUUGGUGAGCACACUUCUGGGUAUCCCUGGGUGGGUCACAGAGGUGUAGCUUUGGGCGUCUAUGUUUGGUUUCUGGCCUCUUCCUCUCGGGCAGGCUGUUUCCCCGCACUGCUUCCCAGUUGGCAUGAACUAAGCAGCUUUGCUCCUCCAUGAUGUUCCUGCUUUGGAGCCAGCUGACCAGAGACAAUCCCCUUAAAACGUGAGCCAAAUUAAACUUUUCCCCCUUUAAAUUUGGCCAUCAGGUAUUAUGUCCAUCAACAGGGAAACUGAUGAAUACAAAUACAUUGUGAGGGGAUUUUAUUUUUUCUGGAAGCAGGUUUAAUUCAAUCGAUUUAAUUGAAUCCUACGUUUGGCUCAAGGUGAUGAACCCAUGAGUUUGUCUUCUCUGAAAAUUCUCUGAGGUUGGAGGACCCCUGUGACCAGGGAGCACAUGGAGAAGCAGCACAUGAGCCAGGAGAGCAGCAGUAUUGAGACAAAGGUAGGGCUGCCUUUCCCACUGGAAACCCUGGAGGACCCUGGGAGCAUCCUGGGGGAAGCCGAGUGGGAGCAAGAAGACAGGAGGACAAGAAGAGAAACAGCGAGUGGGCUGCAGGGAAGGAGCCAGCCAGCGAGGCGCACAUGCAUCACAGAGCGAGCUGUAAGUAAAUAGCACCCGUAACCCCGCUCACGGAGGCGGCAGGGCCCUUAUUGAGCAUCUGGCCCUGCCCUUUCCCUUAACAGUUGAGGCACCUAAGAUGCGUUACCAGUCAGCGGCAAGGCUGUGCCUGGAGCUCACAUCUUUCAGACACCCCAGGGUCAGCAUACCCAUCUGGAACUGUGGGACUACGGCCCCUAGGAAGGAGCUUCUGAUUUAAAUUGGAGUCAGGGAAAUAGAAAACUUCCCAUGAUUUGCCUUACCGGCCACUCAAGUACCUCCUUCAAUCCCUGAAGGAAUUCACUUUCUUGUACAUAUUAGAGUAAUAAUCCCAUUUAUUGGGCACCUACGGUGUGCCAAGGUCUUUUACAUGUAUUUUUUCAACCUUCACAAAUUUAUUUUCAUUUUUCAGAUGAGGAGACUGAGGUUCAGAGACAUUAAAGAGUGACUCCAAAUAAGUACAGCUCAUGAGGGUCAUAGCUGGUCCUCAGACAACCCGUGUCUGACUCGAGACAUUGUCUUUUUGUCUUGAACAAGAGAGGACAGCGCGGCCCCUCUUGAGCAGGUCUCACCGGAAGCCUAAGAUGCUGUGCCCAAGUGGAGAGAAGCAGGAGAAGCCUUUUCUGGGGCAUCAGGGCAGUGGCACAAUGCCAGGACUGUGGAAUGCUUGUGAGCCAC
Non-coding RNA from Heterocephalus glaber (naked mole-rat), 3177 nucleotides. Lineage: Eukaryota; Metazoa; Chordata; Mammalia; Rodentia; Bathyergidae. The record is from RefSeq and is a predicted model, not a curated record.